GACGAACGCUGGCGGCGUGCUUAACACAUGCAAGUCUAACGGAAAGGCCCUGCUUUUGUGGGGUGCUCGAGUGGCGAACGGGUGAGUAACACGUGAGUAACCUGCCCUUGACUUUGGGAUAACUUCAGGAAACUGGGGCUAAUACCGGAUAGUAGCUCCUGCUGCAUGGUGGGGGUUGGAAAGUUUCGGCGGUUGGGGAUGGACUCGCGGCUUAUCAGCUUGUUGGUGGGGUAGUGGCUUACCAAGGCUUUGACGGGUAGCCGGCCUGAGAGGGUGACCGGCCACAUUGGGACUGAGAUACGGCCCAGACUCCUACGGGAGGCAGCAGUGGGGAAUAUUGCACAAUGGGCGGAAGCCUGAUGCAGCAACGCCGCGUGCGGGAUGACGGCCUUCGGGUUGUAAACCGCUUUCGCCUGUGACGAAGCGUGAGUGACGGUAAUGGGUAAAGAAGCACCGGCUAACUACGUG
RNAcentral lists this ribosomal RNA (468 nucleotides) under uncultured bacterium. RNAcentral's name for it is "partial 16S ribosomal RNA". It matches the Rfam family "Bacterial small subunit ribosomal RNA", at positions 28 to 507 of the family's 1533-position model. The record is from RNAcentral.